GAAGGUUGGCAGGGACAUUUCUUCCUCCUCAACAGCUGACAAGACAACCAGGAGGCUGGCUAAACCCUGCUUCCCACCACAAGACGGCUGCAGCUGAGAGAUCCUAGGACACAUGACAAAGGCCAGCAGAAGCAAUGCCUCUUAUUCAAUACCUGAUUGCUUGUACAGUCAGCUUAACUUCUACUUGGAAAUACUGCUUUGGAAGAGAAAAUUAAGAAAAAAGCAUCAUUAAAAAAGAGACAAGGUUGGGCUUCCCUGGUGGCGCAGUGGUUGAGAGU
Mesoplodon densirostris (Blainville's beaked whale) is the source of this 278-nucleotide long non-coding RNA. RefSeq lists it as uncharacterized. The transcript is spliced from 3 exons. The record is from RefSeq and is a predicted model, not a curated record. NCBI's taxonomy places the organism in Eukaryota, Metazoa, Chordata, Mammalia, Artiodactyla, Ziphiidae.